Molecule: long non-coding RNA, 260 nt
Organism: Clupea harengus (Atlantic herring)
Lineage: Eukaryota; Metazoa; Chordata; Actinopteri; Clupeiformes; Clupeidae
Exons: 3
Source: RefSeq, a predicted model, not a curated record
UCCUCUUGGAUGGGCAACCGCGUCCGGCGCACCAAGCCAUUCUUGCGGCUCGCUCCAGCUACUUCGAGGCCAUGUUCCGCUCAUUCAUGCCUGAGGACGGCCAGGUGAAUAUCUCCAUCGGGGAGAUGGUUCCUAGCAAGCAGGCCUUUGAGUCCAUGCUACGCUACAUCUACUAUGGAGACGUCAACAUGCCCCCCGAAGACUCACUCUACCUGUUUGCGGCCCCCUACUACUACGGGUUCUCCAACAACAGACUGCAG